GAUGAACGCUGGCGGCGUGCCUAAUACAUGCAAGUCGAGCGAACGGACGAGAAGCUUGCUUUUCUGAUGUUAGCGGCGGACUGGUGAGUAACACGUGGAUAACCUACCUAUAAGACUGGGAUAACUUCGGGAAACCGGAGCUAAUACCGGAUAAUAUUUUGAACCGCAUGGUUCAAAAGUGAAAGACGGUCUUGCUGUCACUUAUAGAUGGAUCCGCGCUGCAUUAGCUAGUUGGUAAGGUAACGGCUUACCAAGGCAACGAUGCAUAGCCGACCUGAGAGGGUGAUCGGCCACACUGGAACUGAGACACGGUCCAGACUCCUACGGGAGGCAGCAGUAGGGAAUCUUCCGCAAUGGGCGAAAGCCUGACGGAGCAACGCCGCGUGAGUGAUGAAGGUCUUCGGAUCGUAAAACUCUGUUAUUAGGGAAGAACAUAUGUGUAAGUAACUGUGCACAUCUUGACGGUACCUAAUCAGAAAGCCACGGCUAACUACGUG
RNAcentral lists this ribosomal RNA (497 nucleotides) under uncultured bacterium. Its description in RNAcentral is "partial 16S ribosomal RNA". It matches the Rfam family "Bacterial small subunit ribosomal RNA", at positions 28 to 507 of the family's 1533-position model. The record is from RNAcentral.